CAUCUUCAUCUUCUGGAACCCAGCCUUCUGGAACCCAACCCUUCAUCGCACCCAGAAAACCCUAACCUCCAUCACGUCACCAUCUAUCUCACUGGUUCGUCGUUGUGUUAGCCAGCUCGCCAUUCCUCUUGCUGUCCUUCUCGCCGUUCUGGUCGUCGUGCUACUCGCCUUUCUCUGUCGCGGUUCUGCUCGGCUCUCUCUGUCGCGGUUCUGCUCGCUUCUCUGUCGUGGUUUUGCUCGCCGUGCUGCUCGAAGGUUAGUGCUCAGUUGUGCUCCAUCUUCGUUUUUUUAGAAAUAAAUCAAGAAAAUUGGAUGCCUUUGGGUAUAAUCAAUCAAUCAAGAGCCACCGCCUCGACUUCAGUUCUCCGAUCAGCCUCCGCGCUCACGCCAGAGCCCUCGCUCCUCUUCUCCAACUAUUCCAACGCAGCUUGGCUUCCAUGGCCAGUGAAAAUCUAUUCAAGGGAAACCUGACAAGUCUCCCCAAGCCUGGAGGUGGCGAGUUUGGAAAAUUCUAUAGCCUUCCUUCUCUCAAAGAUCCAAGAGUUGACAAGUUGCCGUAUUGUAUCAGAAUUCUCGAAUCUGCCAUUCGUAAUUGUAACAAUUUCCAAGUCAAGAAAGAGGAUGUUGAGAAGAUUAUUGACUGGGAAAACACUUCCAAAGCAAGUUGAAAUUCCUUUCAAGCCUGCGUGGGUCCUCUUGGAGGAUUUUACUGGAGUCCCAGCUGUUGUUGACCUAGAUUGCAUGCGUGAUGCAAUGAAUAAGCUUGGCAGUGAUUCUAAUAAGAUUAAUCCUCUGGUUGGCCCAGGUUCUUUACUUCAAGCCCCUUUGGAUGAUGAUGCUAGUAGAGGCACGGUGACAAAGCAUCUUUGAGACACACAGAGAUGCCCAAUAGAUUUGAUAACUCCACCUGAUGAUUGUCAUGUCAAUUAUACACUAUCCUUCUCUCUUCAAAUUUGUCAUGUUGAGGAUCUUCUUGUAAAUGGCAUUAUGAAAGGAAGCAUAGUUCACAUUCACAGGGCAAGAACUGUGAUUGUUGGCACUGAUGGUGUGAUUACUGCAUCAGAAUUAGGUUGCACUGAAGGUAUUGGAAAGGGAAACUUUUUGAAUGGAGCUGGUGGUGGUGUUGGACAUGGUGGAAGAGGAGGGUCUGGAUAUAAUGGGAGAGUGAGCAUUGGUGGUGAUGACUAUGGAAAUGCUAUUUUUCCGUGUGGAGGUGGAAUGAUUGAUAAAUAGUUUUGAAUACCUUUAACUUGAAUUAUUCAAGAAGGGAUUCUCUUUUUAUGUUUUUGGACUAUUGAGGUGGAUGUGGAUAGCUGCAAAUGCUAUAUCAUUGUGUUUAUACUUUAUAGUCCUUAUACAAAGGAAAUGAUCUAUUUUUAUAAUUUUCAGUUGAUAUUCAAUGAUUUUUUGUCAA
Arachis ipaensis is the source of this 1414-nucleotide non-coding RNA. The record is from RefSeq and is a predicted model, not a curated record. NCBI's taxonomy places the organism in Eukaryota, Viridiplantae, Streptophyta, Magnoliopsida, Fabales, Fabaceae.